CCCAAAGCAACCACUUCAUAGAGUCACCUGACAGAACGCAGCUUGUCCCCUGGCAGUGGAAAGUUCAGGUGGACAGGGUGUUGCAGGGACCAUCCUUUAUGGUCAUUUUGGGAUAACACCUGGUGCAUCCUGAAAAUUAGGCCUCUUUGAAGUGUUCCUGCAUGUGCAACCAGAAGAAAGAGGCACACAAAAUCAUGGGUCAAAUAUUUCAGACAGUUACUAAGAAGCAGCAUGACAGCUACAAGAAAAUAAGCAAAAUGAAGGAGCAUGUGAACUGGGAGUACAUCAAGAUGCCACAAACAAUGCUAGAUCUUCAUGUGAUGCUAGUUUGCUAUUUGCAGUCAUGCAGCAUAAACCACACCAGUCUCUGUGUUCAAAAGAAAGUAAAACUACCAAUGUGAUGAGAGAUAUUGGCUUCCAGGUAAAAAUAACGAGUUCAUGUGGAUGUUGGCAAGCUCUGUGAGACAGAGAUGAUCUGUAGUAUGACUUGAUGAACACUCCUAAAAUGGGACAGUAAGCUUCUAUUCCAAAAUGAUCAGUGUAUAAAGCUAUCUAUCACCUUGUAAUAUGAAAUAUAUUAAAAAGGUUGACUAUGGUUACAAAGACAAAAAGAUGAAAAACAAAAUUCGUCCAACAAUUAUGAUUGUUUAGGUCUUUUGCUUUUCGAUUUUUUACUGCCUUGUUUAAGUUUCCUGCAUGCACACAAAUAUGAAGAAAAGAAGCCUUUCCCAGAUCUCAUAUAAGCUUUUCCUUCUUGCCUAUUUAGAGCCAAGCAUGCCUUAUCCUUCAAUUACUGCUAGCUCCUAGCCAUGUCAUCUACUUCUGAAAUAUUCAUUUGCUGCCAUCUUUGCUGCCAUCAUUUCAGUGAUUGCUGUACACCUUUGCUGGAUUUGAUGCUAGCCUUUAGUCAGUGCUGAGGUCCUUUCUAAUCUUCUAAUCUAAUACAGAAAAUGUUCUAUUGUGUGUCUUUGAAAAAUAUGUAUAUAUAAAGAGUAGCUUCUGUGCUCAGCUUCUUUGCAGUCUUACACCUUCCUCCUGAGUCAGCUACUGUGCUUGUUUGCUCCAUCAUUAUCCUGGCUGAAAAAUGUCAGAGUGAUGGAGUACCUACGAGCAGUUUCCCAGUGAAAAAAUAAAGGAUUUGCUGAGUGAGCA
This 1152-nucleotide long non-coding RNA is filed under the name Phasianus colchicus (ring-necked pheasant). Its description in RNAcentral is "lncRNA (ENSPCLG00000020578.1)". Lineage: Eukaryota; Metazoa; Chordata; Aves; Galliformes; Phasianidae. The record is from RNAcentral.